ACCGAUGAUUUUCCAAUCCAACUUGCUAGAGGUUGUAGUUGAUCCAAGACCCUGCUUCAGGGAGAACCUACUUGGUGUUACUACACUUCCUAUGACAGCAACCUUUGUUCUGAGGU
This is a non-coding RNA of Phaseolus vulgaris (common bean), 116 nucleotides long. The record is from Rfam. NCBI's taxonomy places the organism in Eukaryota, Viridiplantae, Streptophyta, Magnoliopsida, Fabales, Fabaceae.